Molecule: long non-coding RNA, 400 nt
Filed under: Solanum tuberosum (potato)
Lineage: Eukaryota; Viridiplantae; Streptophyta; Magnoliopsida; Solanales; Solanaceae
Description: long non-coding RNA (STUB_LNC004182)
Source: RNAcentral
GGCGAUCAUAUGCUGCUUCAGAGUUCCAGAUUUACAUGUAAGUUAAUAUGCCACUUCUUGUUAAGUUGUUUGAGGCAACUUCACAUGAGUUUAGUUGAUCUUAGCAGUUAUUUAUAUCAAUUUACAUUUGAUGCUUCAUCGUAGUGCGGUUGUUUCGAAUUAUGAAAUGAAAAUCGUUCUUCACUUUGAUGUUAAUUAAAAUUUUACAGUAAAAAUUGAUCGGUAAUACUUUUCAAGAAUGGAGCAAGGAUUGCAACCACCAUAUGACCUCUACAAUCAGAAAAUUUUGCACAACUAAGUAAUACUCUACGUUGCAUUGAACAUGAAAAAAUUAUCAAUUUAUCUUAAGUAUUGUACGAAAGUUUUGAUUCCCCUGUUUUUGGGAGAAAUAUUGGAGCAC